RNAcentral lists this ribosomal RNA (287 nucleotides) under Blastocystis sp. RNAcentral describes it as "partial small subunit ribosomal RNA". It matches the Rfam family "Eukaryotic small subunit ribosomal RNA", at positions 42 to 348 of the family's 1831-position model. The record is from RNAcentral. Lineage: Eukaryota; Bigyra; Opalinata; Blastocystidae.
GAGUAACCCACUGCAUGUGUAAGUAUAAAUAGUUAACUUUGAAACUGCGAAUGGCUCAUUAUAUCAGUUAUAGUUUAUUUGAUGAAGAAUACUAAUUGGAUAACCGUAGUAAUUCUAGAGCUAAUACAUGUAUAAAGUCUUGUAGACUGCAUUUAUUAGAAUGAAAACCAUAGGUUUCGGCCUAUUCGUGAGUAAUAAUAACUAAUCAUAUCGUAUGCUUAUGUAACGAUGUGUCUUUCAAGUUUCUGCCCUAUCAGCUUUCGAUGGUAGUGUAUUGGACUACCAUG